GGCAGCGCGGGGGCAACCCUGGCGGCGAGUGGCGAACGGGUGAGUAAUACAUCGGAACGUACCCAGAAGUGGGGGAUAACGUAGCGAAAGUUACGCUAAUACCGCAUACGUUCUACGGAAGAAAGCGGGGGAUCUUCGGACCUCGUGCUUUUGGAGCGGCCGAUGUCUGAUUAGCUAGUUGGUGAGGUAAAGGCUCACCAAGGCGACGAUCAGUAGCUGGUCUGAGAGGACGACCAGCCACACUGGAACUGAGACACGGUCCAGACCCCUACGGGAGGCAGCAGUGGGGAAUUUUGGACAAUGGGGGCAACCCUGAUCCAGCAAUGCCGCGUGAGUGAAGAAGGCCUUCGGGUUGUAAAGCUCUUUUGUCAGGGAAGAAACGGGUUUCGCUAAUACCGGAGCCUAAUGACGGUACCUGAAGAAUAAGCACCGGCUAACUACGUGCCAGCAGCCGCGGUAAUACGUAGGGUGCAAGCGUUAAUCGGAAUUACUGGGCGUAAAGCGUGCGCAG
This 511-nucleotide ribosomal RNA is filed under the name uncultured bacterium. RNAcentral's name for it is "bacterial SSU rRNA". It matches the Rfam family "Bacterial small subunit ribosomal RNA", at positions 68 to 574 of the family's 1533-position model. The record is from RNAcentral.